This 494-nucleotide ribosomal RNA is filed under the name uncultured bacterium. RNAcentral's name for it is "partial 16S ribosomal RNA". It matches the Rfam family "Bacterial small subunit ribosomal RNA", at positions 28 to 507 of the family's 1533-position model. The record is from RNAcentral.
GACGAACGCUGGCGGCGUGCUUAACACAUGCAAGUCGAACGGAAGGGCCUGCUUUCCCUUGUGGAUUGCGGGUACUCGAGUGGCGAACGGGUGAGUAACACGUGAGUGAUCUGCCCCCAACUUGGGUAUAAGCCUGGGAAACUGGGUCUAAUUCCCGAUAGGACUGCAGGGUGGUGCCUGUGGUGGAAAACGAUUUUCUAGUGGUUGGGGAUGAGCUCGCGGCCUAUCAGCUUGUUGGUGGGGUAAUGGCCUACCAAGGCGGCGACGGGUAGCCGGCCUGAGAGGGUGGACGGCCACAUUGGGACUGAGAUACGGCCCAGACUCCUACGGGAGGCAGCAGUGGGGAAUAUUGCACAAUGGGCGGAAGCCUGAUGCAGCGACGCCGCGUGGGGGAUGACGGCCUUCGGGUGGUAAACUCCUUUCGACCGCGAGGAAGCCACCUGGUUGGAAGGGUGGUGACGGUAGUGGUAGAAGAAGCACCGGCUAACUACGUG